AAAAAGGCGGCGUAAAGCUGUCGCUAAAGGGAUGGACCCUGCGAUGCAUUAGCUAGUUGGUAAGGUAACGGCUUACCAAGGCGAUGAUGCAUAGCCGAGUUGAGAGACUGAUCGGCCACAUUGGGACUGAGACACGGCCCAAACUCCUACGGGAGGCAGCAGUAGGGAAAUCUUCCACAAUGGACGAAAGUCUGAUGGAGCAAACGCCGCGUGAGUGAAGAAGGUUUUCGGAUCGUAAAGCUCUGUUGUUGGUGAAGAAGGAUAGAGGUAGUAACUGGCCUUUAUUUGACGGUAAUCAACCAGAAAGUCACGGCUAACUACGUGCCAGCAGCCCGGUAAU
This 340-nucleotide ribosomal RNA is filed under the name uncultured Lactobacillus sp. RNAcentral describes it as "bacterial SSU rRNA". It matches the Rfam family "Bacterial small subunit ribosomal RNA", at positions 190 to 524 of the family's 1533-position model. The record is from RNAcentral. Lineage: Bacteria; Bacillati; Bacillota; Bacilli; Lactobacillales; Lactobacillaceae.